This 642-nucleotide long non-coding RNA is filed under the name Homo sapiens (human). Its description in RNAcentral is "HSALNT0054540". The record is from RNAcentral. Lineage: Eukaryota; Metazoa; Chordata; Mammalia; Primates; Hominidae.
GGGAGGAAGCAGUUUCCAUCAGGUGACCCAAAUUUGUACCUUUCCCCGUGGGCUCUCUGAAUGGCUCAUCAGCCCUGCUAGGGCUGUUCUCACCAGCUAGAAUGAUGCAAGGUCAAAUCUCUGUGUCCUCCUACAUUGUCUCCACGCCUUCAGCCGGUCUUCAUGGUUGCACUCUUCCUUCUAAAUGCCUCAUAGCAGCCUCCUGGCCUGCCCCACAGACUCCUCUAAGCCAACAUUGACUAUCCCCAGCCACUUCCCCUGGACCCUGAAGAGCCUUCAGAAAAUAUACUUUGACCCACUGACUAGUUUAGUCUCUACUGACUACUCAGAAUUCUUCAUAGUCUGCCUCCACCCACCUGCCACCCUGCCCCCACCCCCAAGGAAGUCUUGGGCUCUGGUCACACUGGCCUCGUCAUUGCAUCCCACUCAUCUUGCUCUUCCUGCCUCUGUGCUUUGGUUCAUGAUACCACCCCCGAGAGUCAUAUCCACUUAAACUCAUCCUCUGAGACCUUGCCUCCUCAGCCGAGCCUUCCCAGAUUUUUCCAAUCCACUCAGCCUCCCCUGCCUCUGAACAGCUGAAGCAUUUAUAGUCUAUAGGGGCUCUCUGACAGGGUCACCAAUAAGUAGUCCUCUUUCCCUCAU